This 100-nucleotide transfer RNA is filed under the name Mycolicibacterium fallax. Its description in RNAcentral is "tRNA-Arg". The record is from RNAcentral. Lineage: Bacteria; Bacillati; Actinomycetota; Actinomycetes; Mycobacteriales; Mycobacteriaceae.
CGACCACCCGGGCGGCGUUCUUCGGCGCGUCGGCGGCCUGCGGCGCUGCCGGGGUGGCCGGGGUGCCGGGUGCGGCCGGUGUGGCGGCCGGCUUGGGCGA